CCGGAAAGACAGUGAUGUUGUAUUUCCAAGCACAUAGCUGAGCUGUAUGUGUGGACAACCUAAAACUGAGUCUUUUCCAU
This 80-nucleotide small nucleolar RNA is filed under the name Echinops telfairi (small Madagascar hedgehog). RNAcentral's name for it is "Small nucleolar RNA SNORD121A (ENSETEG00000026792.1)". It matches the Rfam family "Small nucleolar RNA SNORD121A". Lineage: Eukaryota; Metazoa; Chordata; Mammalia; Afrosoricida; Tenrecidae. The record is from RNAcentral.